UCCUUGUCUCCACCGCCUCUUCGAGGUUCCCUUACAUCCUCUGGAAGCAUCGUCAAAAUCCUAAACCCAGUCCAUCACUACCAAUCCUGCAAUAAGAUCCUCCACUCCUCGAUUUUCCGUUAUGGCUUUUUUUUUUCUUCUAGAUUUUCAGAAUCCCUUCGUUGACUUCCAAUCCUCUUGCUAAGGAUGCAUUCCUCCUCCGUGAUUUUCCGUUUAUAUAUGCUCGUAGAUGAUUAGGAAAAAUUACGAGAGAGUUGAUGAAAAGAGGCGGAACGAUGACUGACGUAAGUAGUCAUGGAGAGAGAGAGAGAGAGAGAGAGAGAGAGAGAGACAUCGAAGAUUUCUCUUACAUAUGAGAUACAAGGGAAGGAAGAUCAGACGGUGAUCUGGUUUUUGGUUAAAUAUUAUUCAUGGAUUUUCCUAAUCAGGUAUGUUGUUCUCUGAAAAUUUUCCCUUUCUUGCAAUCAUUUCACCCCUACGUAAUUGCUAUCCAGGUAUGCAAGUGAAGAUGUAAUUAAAUUUGUGUCCACAUAUCUUUAUACUGGUGUCAACUUCUUCGUCGCUUCUAACUAAGGUAUUGGUUCUACUUUUGGUUUUGUUUUUCUACAUAAUAGAAGAACUUUGCCUCUUUUUUUGAUUUGCUCCAUUGUUUUGAUUUUGGGGUUCAUAGCAGGAAUAUGGAUAAUAAAUAUAAGGGUGUAGGUUUUUAUUGAUACGUUGAUUUUAUUUUUUUUGGCGUUUAAGGAUUGAGAGAGAAGUGCUCCACUUGGAAAUUUGAAGAUUACUUCCAGGCAUAACCAAACACGACCCAAAAUUAAAAUGACUUUUCAUUAAAAGAAUUCUCAUAAACAUUAAUUUGUUACCUAAAUAUACCGAGAAGAAUUGUGAAUUAAUCCAAGUUUUCUAUGUUUGAAAAAUGUUUUCCACUUAUGUUGUAUAAUACUGUCAGACAAAUUCAGAGUUGGAGAUGCUAAAAGUAGUUGAUAGUUAUUACAUUUCCCAAACUAUUUUCUUGCCAUUAUAAACAUUUACACGUAGAAUCUUUUUUUGAAUAUAUAUAUAUAUAUAUAUAUAUAUAUAUAUAUAUCUGUCNUUAAACGAUUGAAGCUUCACGGACUAGGUUGAACAUGAAUACAAAUAACUGAGAGGCUCAUUCUUAGUUUAUAACAAUUACACACCAUUGGUAAACACUUCACAAAUUUUCCUAUUUUCUCCUUAACCAUAUUCUUAAAAUAAUCCCUCAGUUAAAUUUAUAUUCACCGAAGCUAAACAGAUAAUUCGGAUAUGCUACGGGACAAACUUCAAAGAUUACCAGUCUCCCUUACGGACUUAGUAAAAGAUCUUUCUAAAUCAUAACGAAUAAGAAAAGAAUUUGUAUACAUAAUUUUUUUAUUUUUAGCUUUUUAGAUGCCUUUUAGUUUUAAACUUUGGUCAAUUUAUUUUUAUCUAAACUAGAGGAUAAUGGAACAGUUUUAGUUCAAUUCUUAUCGACACUUCUUAGCAUGGUGAACACACCCUAGUUAGUAUACGAUUAACUAAGUUGCUACUGUUUUAAAAACCAUGUUGACCAAAAUUUUGUCUAAAUUAAAGUUUACUGAACAAUAACAGAAAAGGAAACAGCUUAGGCUAGAGUGAUUCUAUUCAUGGCAUAUUAGCUAUUAUUUUUUAUUUUUUUAUUUUGAAAAGAUAUAUAAUGGUAUAGGCCAACAAGGAUCAACAUUGUGGAUAGUUUAAGAAUUGGUAUUCUUAAAGGACAUGCUUUAUUAUUUGGAAUGUUUUCUUUAUGAGGACCAAAUGCACAAUGUAUUAUCCUUUGAAAACCGAAAACAGUUAUGAUAAAUGAUAUCUUUAAUUUAACACAUUUCCAUUUCUACAUAUCUAUCAUUCAUUGUCGAAUAUAUAUAUCUUAGUUAGUCACACAAUGUUUCACACAUUCAUUACGGUCUACCCAGCAAGGCUGAGAUUUCAAUAUAGUACAACAGUAACAUUUUUCCCAUCCCGUGGGAAAAUUACAAUGAAAUUUAAAGCAAAAAUCAACGCCGAUCUUUUCGCUUGUAAUAUUUGAUUUCGAUUCCACCUUUCUUUCAAGAAUGAUUGAUGUGCCUGAAUCAUAACAAUAAAAUAAGAAAGUGAGUAUAAUGAAAUCAAUGUGUUUUUGUGUGCAUGUGAGAAAGAGAAAGAUAAACUGAGAAAGGAGCGUACAAUGACAAAGGGAGGCAAAAGAAGCCAUGAGAAUGAGGAAGAGAACUAGAAACCUACAACUAACGAAGGCCAUUUGAAAGGUAAUGAAAGGUUCCAGUGGAAUGAUUAAAUUGAGAAAUAAGAGGGUAUUUAUAAGUAGAUGCUAUGAAAUAUGAUAACAAAAUUUUCAAUAGGCUUUUAUUUAAAAUUUACUACUUGAAAAUUUUGGUUUGAUGCAUUAAAUUUGCAAUAGCAGUUAUUUAUUUUUGUAUAUACACGAAAGGAAAAAAGUAUAUAUCAAAGUUUAUAUAAAAAUAAGUUAGUGUAAUAUAAUAUGAAAACAUAAAUAUAACAGACAUAUAAUACUUGACUUAUUGUGAGCUCUUAAUGAAUAUUUUCUAAAAUUAAUUUUUUUUAAUAGAGAUUUUUUUAUAGAAUAAUAAUAUAUCUAAGUUAUCAUCGUAUAAAGAGCGAGAUGACAAACGAGCAACAAGCUACACUACUAAGCAUUUUUGUAUGGUAAAAAACCAAAUUCUUUUGUAAACCACAUCCAUAGAUCUAGGGGAUAUAAAAUUGUUACGCAUGAUCUGUUGUACUCUAUUAAGAAGCUCCACCACAUCUGAUGCGAGAAAACCAAAUGUAUCAAAUGCAAAUUGUAUGAACAAGUGUUUAUUUUCCAUGUACAAGAUCUCAUAUUUGAUGACUUUGCUUGUAGCAGCAUUUAAUGCAGCUUGUCCGUCGUGAAACCCCCAACCCUCUAGCCCACGUGUGGGGAUAUCCCUAUAUGGUCCACACAAGCGUGUUUCUAUCCAACCCAUCCAAAAAUGAAAACGCCAGUGGUCUAAGGGUUGACCUUCCCCAUACAAACACGGGCAAAAACACUCGUACUCAUGUGAAACACAACGCGACAGCCAAUAUCUUUCUUCUUCUGAUUGCUUGCUUCCAUAGUGACCAUCGAUGGCCUUUGUCUUCGAUGCUCGUUGAAGCAGCGAUGGUGGUUGGGCACUGGUAGUUCACAGCACCGAUAUAAACAUGGCGGUGAUUGAGCGAUUCACGGAAGUUAUCCACCACGAAAGGGAUGGUGGCGUGACAACCCUAGACUUCUUGCAUCCGACUGGAUCGAUCUCUUUCAGACGUAGGAGGGGGUGGCUCCGGCGAUUGCCAACUCUAAUGACGGAUAAGAGGUGGCAGGUGAAGGAUGGGGUAUAAGCAGCGGCUGUAGCACCCUCCUAACGUUAGGGUUUAUAUUGCGGCGGUUGUAGCGCCUUCUCAUCCGAAAUUGAAAGUUUUUUUGAUGCACACCAAGCGCUCGCUAAAAUGCAUCAAUUGAUGCACACCAAGGACUCUCUAAAAUUUGAACGACACCUCUUAGAAAUAUUAUUCUUUUAGAAUGUAUUAGUGUCUUUGUUAGAUUUUGAUGUUUUUUUUUUCCAUAUUUCAAAGUUUUUUUAGUUUUAUUCUUUAACAAUAAAUGAAAUUCUUAACAAUUGUUACAUGUAUUCUAUAAGAAUUAAUGUAAUUUUUGUUUUAAUUCAUCAAUUGAUGGUUCGAGAAUUUUGUUAUUCUACAAGAAAUUUUUAAAGUCAUGAUCAAGUAAUAUGUUCAACAAAAUUUUUAUUAUUUUAUGGUUCAAGAAUAUUUUUAUUUUUGAACAUACUCAAACAUAUUCUGUUAGAAUGUCCACAUUAAAAAUCUUAUAAUUCGUAAAAUCAGAUUUUUUAAAUUAAUAGAAUCUUUGAUCCCUUAAAAUAUGCAAAUUUCGUUUAUUAAAUCGAUGUUAAUUGACUAAAAUACCCUUCUANNNNNNNNNNNNNNNNNNNNNNNNNNNNNNNNNNNNNNNNNNNNNNNNNNNNNNNNNNNNNNNNNNNNNNNNNNNNNNNNNNNNNNNNNNNNNNNNNNNNNNNNNNNNNNNNNNNNNNNNNNNNNNNNNNNNNNNNNNNNNNNNNNNNNNNNNNNNNNNNNNNNNNNNNNNNNNNNNNNNNNNNNNNNNNNNNNNNNNNNNNNNNNNNNNNNNNNNNNNNNNNNNNNNNNNNNNNNUAUAUAUAUAUAUAUAUAAAAAUUUAUAGUACUUUACGCGUAGUUCCAGGGUUUAAACGAAGAAAAGAAAAUAAGACAAAAGAAAGUUAGGAGGGAAAGUGGUCAUUUCAUUUCCCUCCACUUCUUUCUAUUUCCCUACUUUAAUGAAACACCAAUUUCUUUUACUUUCUUCUCAUUUCCACUCAUUUACUUUCUUUUCUCUUGUUAAGUUCAACUCGAGAACAGGGUGUUAGGAAUAGUUCUUUGUUUCUAUUGGUUUAAUUUUUUUUUUCUUUUUUAGUUUUUUACUUGGGAUUUUCCUUGGUCUGUGGGACAUCCACGCCAUGGUUUACAGGCAAACGUGUCAUCUUCCCUUAAUUCAUUGCUGCCACCGCCGAUAAUUUUCUUCUAAACACAUUUAUGAACUGUUUUGGUUUCUUGGUCACCUAUCCUCUCACGGGUAGGUUCGUUCUUCUUCAUUUUGUACUGCCUUCCCUGUCUCCACCGCCUCUUCGAGGUACCCUUACAUCCUCUGGAAGCAUCGUCAAAAUCCUAAACCCAAUCCAUCACUACCAAUCCUGCAAUAAGAUCCUCCACACCUCGAUUUUCCGUUAUGGCUUUUUUUUUCUUCGAGAUUUUCAGAAUCCCUUCGUUGACUUCCAAUCCUCUUGCUAAGGAUGCAUUCCUCUUCCGUGAUUUUCCGUUUAUAUAUGCUCGAAGAUGAUUAGGAAAAAUUGCGAGAGAGUUGAUGAAAAGAGGCGGAACGAUGACUGAGGGAAGUAGUCAUGGA
Molecule: long non-coding RNA, 4987 nt
Filed under: Lactuca sativa (garden lettuce)
Lineage: Eukaryota; Viridiplantae; Streptophyta; Magnoliopsida; Asterales; Asteraceae
Description: long non-coding RNA (LSAT_LNC000706)
Source: RNAcentral